RNAcentral lists this ribosomal RNA (677 nucleotides) under uncultured bacterium. RNAcentral's name for it is "bacterial SSU rRNA". The stretch from base 69 to 530 matches the Rfam family "Bacterial small subunit ribosomal RNA", at positions 919 to 1379 of the family's 1533-position model. The record is from RNAcentral.
CCCUUAGGGGGAAUGUUAACGGACCCGGCCCAGGGGGUUGAUAACUUCAAUAAGAAUUUGAACGGAAGGUCCGCACAACAAUAAGGCAUAUAAUUUAAUUCGAUGAUACACGAGAAACCUUACCUAACUAGAAUGGCUCUUGACCACCAAUAAAAACUAAUUUUGUAACAAUACACAGGAGUUAAGGUGCUACAUAACUGUCAUCAGCUCGUACCAUAAAAUGUUGGAUUAAGUCCCACAACAAGCACAACCCCUAUCAUUAGUUACCAACAAAUUAAACUGAAAACUCUAAUGAAACUGCCGCCGUAAGGCGUGAGGAAGGAGGGGAUGAUGUCAAGUCAUCAUGGCCUUUAUGCCCAGGGCUACACACGCGCUACAAUGGGAAGUACAAAGGGUUGCUACCUGGCAACAGGACGCUAAUCUCAAAAAACUUCUCUCAGUUCAGAUUGCAGGCUGCAACUCGCCUGCAUGAAGCUGGAAUCGCUAGUAAUCGUAGAUCAGCAAUGCUACGGUGAAUACGGUCCACGGACUAUUGAUCACACGACCGACCGCGUCAGAGUCACAUGAGAGAGCCGGGGAGGACAUGAACAUGUCGGUAAUCGCGAUCCAAGGACGCCGUCGUGAGGGUAUGCACCAGGAUGGAUCUGGAGCGCGUCAGUCGUCAGCAAGGUAGCCAG